This 253-nucleotide ribosomal RNA is filed under the name uncultured prokaryote. RNAcentral describes it as "partial 16S ribosomal RNA". It matches the Rfam family "Bacterial small subunit ribosomal RNA", at positions 525 to 777 of the family's 1533-position model. The record is from RNAcentral.
ACAGAGGUCCCAACCGUUGUUCGGAUUCACUGGGCGUAAAGGGUGCGUAGGCGGCGGGGCAAGUCAGGUGUGAAAUCUCGGGGCUCAACCCCGAAACUGCACUUGAUACUGCCUUGCUCGAGUACUGGAGAGGAGACUGGAAUUUACGGUGUAGCAGUGAAAUGCGUAGAUAUCGUAAGGAAGACCAGUGGCGAAGGCGAGUCUCUGGACAGUUACUGACGCUGAGGCACGAAGGCCAGGGGAGCAAACGGGA